This 885-nucleotide ribosomal RNA is filed under the name marine metagenome. RNAcentral describes it as "bacterial SSU rRNA". It matches the Rfam family "Bacterial small subunit ribosomal RNA", at positions 8 to 942 of the family's 1533-position model. The record is from RNAcentral.
AGAGUUUGAUCAUGGCUCAGAACGUACGCUGGCGGCACGCCUAACACAUGCAAGUCGAGCGGGGUAGCAAUACCUAGCGGCAGACGGGUGCGUAACAUGUGGGAAUCUGCCUUUUGGUUCGGAACAACAUGGGGAAACCUGUGCUAAUACCGGAUAAGUCCUAACGGAGAAAGUUUUAAUGCCAAAAGAUGAGCCCGCAUUUGAUUAGCUUGUUGGUGAGGUAAAAGCUCACCAAGGCUAUAAUCAAUAGCUGAUUUGAGAGGAUGAUCAGCCACACUGGGACUGAGACACGGCCCAGACUCCUACGGGAGGCAGCAGUGGGGAAUCUUGCACAAUGGGCGAAAGCCUGAUGCAGCGAUGCCGCGUGAGUGAAGAAGGCCUUUGGGUUGUAAAGCUCUUUUGUCGGGAAAGAUAAUGACUGUACCCGAAGAAUAAGGUCCGGCUAACUUCGUGCCAGCAGCCGCGGUAAUACGAAGGGACCUAGCGUAGUUCGGAAUUACUGGGCGUAAAGAGUAUGUAGGCGGCUAGAUAAGUUAAUUGUGAAAGCCCAAAGCUUAACUUUGGAACUGCAAUUAAAACUAUUUAGCUGGAGUAUGAUAGAGGAAAGCGGAAUACAUAGUGUAGAGGUGAAAUUCGUAGAUAUUAUGUAGAACACCAGUUGCGAAGGCGGCUUUCUGGAUCAUUACUGACGCUGAGAUACGAAAGUAUGGGUAGCGAAGAGGAUUAGAUACCCUCGUAGUCCAUACCAUAAACGAUGAUUAUUAAAUGUGGGGAAUUAUUUCUCUGUAUUAUAGCUAACGCGUUAAAUAAUCCGCCUGGGGAGUACGACCGCAAGGUUAAAACUCAAAUGAAUUGACGGGGACCCGCACAAGCGGUGGAGCAUGU